Oreochromis niloticus (Nile tilapia) is the source of this 2447-nucleotide RNA transcript. It is a transcript of the gene named mitochondrial inner membrane protein MPV17, with no coding region annotated. The transcript is spliced from 8 exons. NCBI's taxonomy places the organism in Eukaryota, Metazoa, Chordata, Actinopteri, Cichliformes, Cichlidae. The record is from RefSeq and is a predicted model, not a curated record.
UUGGAGUACUGCAAAGCCGGAGCUGAUUCCGUGCCGUGAAGGCAUCUCCGCCUGUUUCCUCAGGGAAGCCGAGCAUGUGUACAGUUUUAUUUACAUUAACCCCAGCUUGCCGCCAGUUUACGGACCUUUAAGUUAACUACGGUGAGCUGUAAAGGACGAGGAAUGGCAGGCCUUUGGAGAGGCUACCAGGCCUUGAUGACUAAAUACCCCUGGACAGUCCAGAUAGUGACAGCGGGGUCUUUAGUGGGUGUCGGUGAUGUCAUCUCCCAGCAGCUGAUCGAGAGGAGAGGAUUGGCUAACCACAACGUGCAGAGGACGGCUAAGAUGAUGAGUAUUGGUUUCUUCUUUGUGGGCCCUGUCAUCGGCAGCUGGUACAAGGUUUUGGACCGACUGGUUGUUGGAGGAACCAAAAGUGCUGCUAUGAAGAAAAUGCUGGUUGACCAGCUGUGUUUUGCGCCGUGCUUUCUGGGAGCCUUCCUCUGUAUCUCUGGUGCGCUGAAUGGACUGACAGUCGAGGAGAACGUCACCAAGCUCAGGAGGGACUACACAGAUGCCCUGAUCUCUAAUUACUAUCUUUGGCCUCCAGUCCAGAUUGCCAAUUUCUACUUCAUUCCUCUGCACCACAGGUGAGAGUUUGAUGGCUUCAUUAGCAUGCAAGCAGUGAGCUCUGAUCAUAUUUGAAGGCUGGCUGUCGUCCAGGUCGUUGCUGUUGCUUGGAACUCCUACCUGACCUGGAAGGCCAAUAAGAUGUGAAGGACGCUCACAAGUCCAGCCUGUGUCGUUCUCGCUGAUGAUUACUUUGCACUCAUUCGUAGUGCGUGUGACAUGGGCGUAACUUACUUUAGGCUACUUAGUCUGCUGGUAUUUCCAAUGUGUAAAGCUGUGACUGAGUCACGCGUAAAGGUCGGGAGAAACGGCUCGUCUACUCCGACUGACAAAUUCACACUUGAAAGUCAAACUUGCAUUUGCAGAAAUGUCUGUGAAAGUUUGUUAUUUAUGGAAAUGGGAUUUGGCGGUGGUGCUGCAGUGCAUCCACACAUACACACUCAUACAUUAACACCUAUUGCUCACAAAGGAAACUUUUCUGAUCUCUUUAGUGUAUUGACAUCAUUGUUUUUGUACUAUGUGUAGUUUUUUUUUCCAAUAAUGGACUUUUAGUCAGAUAUUUUAAGUGCAUUCCAGAGUUUCUAAUAAUGUGAUUUUAGUUUACAUAGUUGCGUUUUUUUUACUUUGUCUAAACCUGCCUCGUCUUUUACUUCAUUUUCCUGAAUUUGACAGAUGAAGAGGUCAAAACUCCUGCAGCAUUUACAAAGCUGCAUUACUGGAUUAAAUUGAUUUAGCUUGGGGCCUUUUUUUUUUAUUAUUUCUUUAAAAAAAAAAAAUCAGAGUAAUGACGUUUUUCUACAUUCGAGAAGUGUUACAGCAGAUUUAACAUCUUCAGACUGUCUUCUUUCCUCUGUGAAGCUUGCAAGCAGGUGAGGUUGUGUCAACCAUCUCUACUCUUCUUUUACAUUUGACAGAUCUCAGGAAAAAUCUGAUAUAAAUGGACAAGAUGCCACAUUUUGUUUUUACUCAGAUUACACCAUCCCUUAUCUGCUUUGAUUUUAUUUUGUCGGUCAAGGUUCCUGUGGUUAAAGUACCUAACCUAACAUCAUGGCUAUGUAAAGAAAAGGCCUUGAGUUUGCAGAGUUGAAUGAUACAAGCUCAAUAUGUCUCUGGUGUCUGCAACCACCAAGCUUAUCCUAUUUUAAAGGCUGGAAACAGAAAACAGUUAACUGGAAGUUGUGGUCAGAUGUUUAUGCUCAGAUUUACAUACUUGCUUUAAAAUCGUGGUUGUUAGUAAGGCAGCUGUUUACUCCUGUUUCCAGUCUUUUAUUGGGUUGGCUAUCACUGUGGUCCAGUGGUUCACACUGCUGCUGCCUCACCCCAAUAAAGCGUUUCUGCCCCUGUAGGUUUUCCGCAUUAUAUUGAAAAGUACAAUAGACCCUACAAUACUACAGAGAAGAAAUGAUUGUAAAUUGGAUUUGGUUCUGAAUUCAAAAUAAAGUGCAUAGAAUAAACCAUUGUAUAAACGCGUGUUUGCUUCCUGUAGUCUAAAGCACUUUGAGUGUUCAGUAAGGACAGAAAACUGCUAUGCAAGUGCAAAUACAUUAAUGCAACACUAACAUAACGUGUCAUAAAAACACGAGUGAGAUCAGUCUUCUCUCUGCGAGGACAGUCAUAUUUACUCAGAUGUCAAACUGUUCCUUUAACAGUCAGCGUCACAUUUUUUCUGUCAAACUAGCUGCUGAAGAGUCACCACUAAUCCACAACAUAACCCAGGAUCAUGCUAGUGCUGCAUUCCCCUUUUUCAGGACAUGAAGAAUCGUUAUAUCCAUAAUGUGCACAUUUUUGAUAAAUAAAGGUCACGUCUGGUGUAAGAGCUAAUAAAGUUUUACACGAGUUGA